UCCGUAGGUGAACCUGCGGAGGGAUCAUUACCGAGUUUACAACUCCCAAACCCCCUGUGAACUUAUACCAUUUACUGUUGCUUCGGCGUGUCAUGGCCCCGGGGAAGGACAGCGGUCGCCGUCAGGCCUCAGCUGCCCGCCCCCGGAAACAGGCGCCCGCCGGGGAACUCAAACUCUUCUGUUUUUCUUUAUCUAAUAUAUACUGUCUGAGUAAAAACUAAAAUGAAUAAAAACUUUCAACAACGGAUCUCUUGGUUCUGGCAUCGAUGAAGAACGCAGCGAAAUCCGAUAAGUAAUGUGAAUUGCAGAAUUCAGUGAAUCAUCGAAUCUUUGAACGCACAUUGCGCCCGCCAGUAUUCUGGCGGGCAUGCCUGUUCGAGCGUCAUUUCAACCCUCAAGUCCCCUGUGGACUCGGUGUUGGGGACCGGCGAGACAGCCGCGGAUCUUCUUCCGCAGCGAGUCGCCGCCCCCCAAAUGACUUGGCGGCCUCGUCGCGGCCCUCCUCUGCGUAGUAUAGCACACCUCGCAACAGGAGCUCGGCGAAUGGCCACUGCCGUAAAACCCCCCAACUUUUUCAGAGUUGACCUCGAAUCAGGUAGGAAUACCCGCUGAACUUAAG
RNAcentral lists this ribosomal RNA (619 nucleotides) under Rhizopus stolonifer. Its description in RNAcentral is "eukaryotic LSU rRNA". The stretch from base 232 to 385 matches the Rfam family "5.8S ribosomal RNA". The record is from RNAcentral. Lineage: Eukaryota; Fungi; Mucoromycota; Mucoromycetes; Mucorales; Rhizopodaceae.